RNAcentral lists this RNase P RNA (595 nucleotides) under Terriglobia bacterium. Its description in RNAcentral is "RNase P RNA component class A". It matches the Rfam family "Bacterial RNase P class A". From Rfam's summary of the family: Ribonuclease P (RNase P) is a ubiquitous endoribonuclease, found in archaea, bacteria and eukarya as well as chloroplasts and mitochondria. Its best characterised activity is the generation of mature 5'-ends of tRNAs by cleaving the 5'-leader elements of precursor-tRNAs. Cellular RNase Ps are ribonucleoproteins. Lineage: Bacteria; Pseudomonadati; Acidobacteriota; Terriglobia. The record is from RNAcentral.
AUGUCGAACCGGAUGGUCGCUGUCUGGGUUGUGAACGCCGGGGAUUCCCGGGCUGCGCGAUCCAGAGAGAGGAAAGUCCGAACUCCGCAGAGCAGUGUGCCGGAUAACAUCCGGGAGGGUGGUUUCAAAGCCACUUUACGGAAAGUGCCACAGAGAAUAUACCGCCGCCGGCCGGGUGAGCGGACGGUGAGAGCCGUUCUGCUCGAACCGGACGCGAGGGUGAAGCAGGCGCAAGCCGUUGCGGAACCCUUGGACUAAAGUGAAUGGCGAAAGCCGAUUCGCUUUUGCGCCGGACGCAAAGGCAAAACGGGCGCAAGCCCGCAAAGCCUGAGAUGUUCGACGGUUGUGGUAAGGGUGAAAAGGUGCGGUAAGAGCGCACCGGUCGGGCAGUAAUGCGCGACGCAUGGCAAACCCCACACGGAGCAAGACCAAAUAGGGAAGGAAUUCCGGAUAGCGAUAUUCGGGAUGCGUGCCUGCUCGGUGCGCCAAACUUUCGGGUAGGUCGCUUGAGCCGAUCAGUAAUGACCGGCCUAGAGGAAUGACCGUCAGCGGCGGCAACGCCGUACAGAAUUCGGCUUAUAGGUUUGACAUCACU